AUGCGUGGAACGACCGGCGCUACUCCAGCGCCGGGCAGCCUCGGGGCCGCGCAGCCACUGCCCGGCGGCGGAGCAGGCCCAGCGGGAGGCGGGGAGGGCCGAGGGGGCGGGGAAGCGCUGCGGGCAGAACGCGAGGCCCGGCCGCGGGAGAGGGACCAAGCUGGAACCCGAGCGCCGCGGAGCAGCCGAAAGAAGCGCCCCGCCAGCCCCGUUACCUGCACGCUCCUCCCCCGCGGGCACGCUGCCGGCGUGCAGCCUUCACAACAAAGCCCGAGAGCUGCGGCUGCGGCAGGAGGAGGACCGAACGCGCCGCCCCCGCGAGCUUGCAGAGCGCAAGGGCCGGCGGCGGGGCCGCGGUCCGAGGGCGGGGCCCAGCGGCGCGGCGCGGCACAGCACAGCACAGCUGCGGGGCUGGCUCGGGACUCGGGCCGGGCGGUGCAGGGCGAGGCGAGGCGAGGCGAGGCGAGGCGAGGCAGCUGGCGCCGCCGUGCGGGCGGGAGAGGCGGCGCAAGGCCGAGGAGGGGUUAGCGCUGGAGUGCUACCCAGGCUGCCGAGGAGCGGUAUUCCCCGCCUAUGGAAAGAGAAGCUCUGCCAAGGCGAUGGAGGAGAAUGGAGAACCGCAUGUAUGGGUUUGGGAAGAGGCCGUGUGGAAAUGGGAUUAAGCCUGGAAGUGCUUUGGGAAACCUGCACAAUGGGAACGCUGCCUAUUGAGGGGGAGCAGGGAGGGAGAACUGCAAUAUAUGAGAGAAUUUUAGCAAGAGAAUUUAAUAGUGCUGGGGUCAAUAGAUUUGGGUUUUAAAUACAAGCAGAUUUUUAUUAAACCUUUUAAUUGGAGUGACACCUUGUGCAGACAACAACUCUAUCCAAACAGCUUCUUCAUCUGAUCAUCUCCAAAUUUUCUUGACUGUUGAACAACUCCAGCAAGUCUAGCUUAAUACCAGAUUUGCUAUUUGUAUUAAAAGAGCAUUGCAUAGUGAGAUCUACAUCCCUAUAACAAGUGAAGUAGUGAUGUUUCAGCAUCUGGUUUUUGUUGAUACCAAACAGUGGAGACUUGGUGAUCCUGCUGUAUUUAAUUGAGCCACAGUCUCAAAGAGCAAAACCAAGGGAACUAAUGCUAAUGUUAAUGAAACAUUGAAGUUGAGAUUUUAACUACUUAAAUGUCAUCACAUUGGAAGUUCUUUAAUUUUAGGAAGUUAUUCUGUACUCCCAGAGCAAUUUCCAUUCUGCUCUUACAGAUAUCAAAGAAUUCAAGUUACUGUUUGUUUGCUAGUGCAUGCAAAUUAUAUAACUGAAUAUUAUACCUGAAUUUUAUUGCUUCAUUAACUCUUUUGUGUAUAUUUUGUAUGUUCUCAUAUUUUACAGUAGCAAUAAAAACUUUUCCCUUUGUUCUAAAUUAUUGAAG
Molecule: long non-coding RNA, 1402 nt
Filed under: Numida meleagris (helmeted guineafowl)
Lineage: Eukaryota; Metazoa; Chordata; Aves; Galliformes; Numididae
Description: lncRNA (ENSNMEG00000022332.1)
Source: RNAcentral